AUUUAUGGGUUGUUAUUUAUUAUUCGAUUUUUGAUAAACGAAACUAAUCCAAGCCCGACAAGUAGAAUUCCAUUCGGUACCUUUGGGGUUUUCUUUUUCCUUCUGGAUGACGACGUCACCGCGUCUCCUUAUUGUUAUUGCGAUGGUGACGAGGAACAAAGGGCCGGGGAGAUCAUCGAAAUUACCUCUAGCCCGAAGCCAGAGGGGGUCAUCGACACAACGCCAACCCUGGUGGUGGGGCACUUCGAAGGUCUGGAGACCCUCCUUGAGAUUCCCCCUUUACC
RNAcentral lists this long non-coding RNA (284 nucleotides) under Hordeum vulgare. RNAcentral describes it as "long non-coding RNA (HVUL_LNC012593)". The record is from RNAcentral. Lineage: Eukaryota; Viridiplantae; Streptophyta; Magnoliopsida; Poales; Poaceae.